CACGGCGCACGGGUGCGUAACACGUGGGUAAUCUGCCCUCCGAUGGGGAAUAACCCCGCGAAAGCGGGGCUAAUUCCGCAUAACAUUCCUUGGACCCCGGUUCGAGGAUUCAAAGGCGUAAGUCGUCGGAGGUGGAGCCCGCGCCCGAUUAGCUAGUUGAUGAGGUAACGGCUCACCAAGGCCAUGAUCGGUAGCUGGUCUGAGAGGAUGGCCAGCCACACUGGAACUGAGACACGGUCCAGACUCCUACGGGAGGCAGCAGUGGGGAAUCUUGCACAAUGGGCGAAAGCCUGAUGCAGCGACGCCGCGUGGGGGAUGAAGCAUCUCGGUGUGUAAACCCCUUUCGACUGGGACGAAUGCCUCGCAAGAGGAGUGACGGUACCAGUAUAAGAAGCCCCGGCUAACUACGUGCCAGCAGCCGCGGUAAGACGUAGGGGGCCAGCGUUGUUCGGAAUUACUGGGUGUAAAGGGUUCGUAGGCGGUGUAGCAAGUUGGGAGUGAAAUCUCUGGGCUCAACUCAGAGGCUGCUUCCAA
RNAcentral lists this ribosomal RNA (534 nucleotides) under uncultured bacterium. RNAcentral's name for it is "bacterial SSU rRNA". It matches the Rfam family "Bacterial small subunit ribosomal RNA", at positions 94 to 630 of the family's 1533-position model. The record is from RNAcentral.